Molecule: long non-coding RNA, 1308 nt
Organism: Gorilla gorilla gorilla (western lowland gorilla)
Lineage: Eukaryota; Metazoa; Chordata; Mammalia; Primates; Hominidae
Exons: 3
Source: RefSeq, a predicted model, not a curated record
AUUGCGGGAACAGGGGAAAAGAUUCCAAGCAAAGGGAAGAUCUGAGCAAAGAUCAGGAGGCAAGAGGGAAGAUUUGUGUUUUAGAGAAUUACAACCAGGAGUUUGGACUUGAACUUGGGGAAAUCAGAGGUCGCAGAAGGCCUUAAACAACAGAAGAAUGCUGAAGUUGGAAGUGAGUUUUACAGUACAACACGUGGAACACCUAUUGCAGAGGAAUCAGGAAGAGCAGGCCAGAGGUGUUGGGGAAGCCAUGGAAACUUCUGAAGCUUGACAGGCAGGAAGGAAUACUGUGUGGAUGCUCCAUGGCUCUGAACCCAACAGAAGUGGUUUUGUGACUGUAUAAGGAGCUAGUGACAUCCAUUCCUGCUGAAAUUCCUCAUGAUUAAGACCAAGCUCCAGCCCAUAAGAAGGCAGGGACUGCCGGGAAGUGACUCAGCAAGGGUGGCACAGAUGAUACCAGAUUCUAAGAAUCUAAACUAUGUGGUUUGACGGAGCACCCUUGACUACUAAGCUGUUCUCUUCUUUCCUUCUGUGGCUUUGGCCUAGAAGAGGGUGUCAGGUUUGGUUAUAUCCAUCCUCAAACUCUGUAGAAUAGUUGUACAGGGCCCUAUGAGCUCCCUGUAACCCUGUAACUCUAAGCCUAAAGGCCUGAGCUAAAGGCAUAGUCAAGGUAUUUACAAUACAAAGCAAGGAGAACCAAGGGGGAGCUAAACACCACAGGCUUUACUUGAAUAAAUGAGGAGAUCUCAUUAUACAAUCUCCCUAUAUGAGUAAGAAAAUUGAGUACCUGAAUAAUUAAAAGAUAAGACCAGGAAGUAAAUAUCAGUAAGGGUGAGCUUCAUCUUGAAGUGAUGGUCAAGAAUGAAGGAUCCCAGGCCAGACUGCCUUGGUUAGAAUCCUGAUUCCACCACUAAUGAGGUGUGCAACUGGGGGGAAGUCAUAUCAUCUCUCCAUGCCUUGAUUUCCCCAUCUGUACAAUGGGAAUAAUAAUAGUCCCUAUCUCACUGGGUUGCUGAAAGAAUUAAAUGAGUCAAUACUUGUAAAGUACUUCAAAAUAGCUCUUGGCACAUAACAAAUGUUUAUAAAGUGUUUUGUUAAAUGAACUGAAGAAAAUCAUCUUUCCCUUUUCAAAUAAGUUGUGUAGACCCUACACUGUAGGGUAACCUGGACAUCUUUUCAGUUCUAGGUGAAGGAGGCCUGAAAAUAGAGAGCUACAUGUGCCCAUGGGUAAAUAUUAAUUGUGAUCCAGCAGACAGAUGUCUUUCUACUAUUAUGUCUUUGUAAUAAAGAAUCUGAACAAAGAAACUG